RNAcentral lists this ribosomal RNA (368 nucleotides) under uncultured organism. RNAcentral describes it as "bacterial SSU rRNA". It matches the Rfam family "Bacterial small subunit ribosomal RNA", at positions 526 to 896 of the family's 1533-position model. The record is from RNAcentral.
CGAAGGAUCCAAGCGUUGUCCGGAUUUACUGGGUUUAAAGGGUGCGUAGGCGGACUUUUAAGUCAGUGGUGAAAGCCUGUAGCUUAACUAUAGAAUUGCCAUUGAAACUGAAAGUCUCGAGUGUGGUUGAGGUAACUGGAAUAUAUCAUGUAGCGGUGAAAUGCUUAGAUAUGAUAUAGAACACCAAUUGCGAAGGCAGGUUACUGAGCCAUAACUGACGCUGAGGCACGAAAGCGUGGGGAUCAAACAGGAUUAGAUACCCUGGUAGUCCACGCUGUAAACGUUGAAUACUCGAUCUUAGCGAUACACAGUUAGGAUCCAAGCGAAAGCGUUAAGUAUUCCACCUGGGAAGUACGUUCGCAAGAAUG